GGAGUCGGCCGAGCAGCCGCUCCCGGCGCGUUGCGCCGGGGGAGGAAAGUCCGGGCUCCACAGGGCAGGGUGCCAGGUAACGCCUGGGCGGCGUGAGCCGACGGAAAGUGCCACAGAGAGCAGACCGCCGA
RNAcentral lists this RNase P RNA (131 nucleotides) under Thiotrichales bacterium. Its description in RNAcentral is "partial RNase P RNA component class A". It matches the Rfam family "Bacterial RNase P class A", at positions 1 to 132 of the family's 367-position model. From Rfam's summary of the family: Ribonuclease P (RNase P) is a ubiquitous endoribonuclease, found in archaea, bacteria and eukarya as well as chloroplasts and mitochondria. Its best characterised activity is the generation of mature 5'-ends of tRNAs by cleaving the 5'-leader elements of precursor-tRNAs. Lineage: Bacteria; Pseudomonadati; Pseudomonadota; Gammaproteobacteria; Thiotrichales. The record is from RNAcentral.